RNAcentral lists this ribosomal RNA (322 nucleotides) under uncultured Pseudomonadota bacterium. RNAcentral describes it as "bacterial SSU rRNA". It matches the Rfam family "Bacterial small subunit ribosomal RNA", at positions 28 to 351 of the family's 1533-position model. Lineage: Bacteria; Pseudomonadati; Pseudomonadota. The record is from RNAcentral.
AUUGAACGCUGGCGGCAUGCUUUACACAUGCAAGUCGAGCGGCAGCGCGGGAGCAAUCCUGGCGGCGAGCGGCGAACGGGUGAGGAAUACAUCGGAACGUACCCCGGAGUGGGGGAUAACGCCGCGAAAGCGGCGCUAAUACCGCAUAUGCUCUGAGGAGGAAAGUGGGGGACCUGCAAGGCCUCACGCUCUGGGAGCGGCCGAUGUCCGAUUAGCUAGUUGGUGGGGUAAUGGCUUACCAAGGCGACGAUCGGUAGCUGGUCUGAGAGGAUGAUCAGCCACACUGGGACUGAGACACGGCCCAGACUCCUACGGGUGGCAG